GGCUUAGUGGUCUAGUGGUAUGAUUCUCGCUUAGGGUGCGAGAGGUCCCGGGUUCAAUUCCCGGCUAAGCCC
Transfer RNA from Neocallimastix californiae, 72 nucleotides. It matches the Rfam family "tRNA". From Rfam's summary of the family: Transfer RNA (tRNA) molecules are approximately 80 nucleotides in length. Their secondary structure includes four short double-helical elements and three loops (D, anti-codon, and T loops). Further hydrogen bonds mediate the characteristic L-shaped molecular structure. tRNAs have two regions of fundamental functional importance: the anti-codon, which is responsible for specific mRNA codon recognition, and the 3' end, to which the tRNAs corresponding amino acid is attached (by aminoacyl-tRNA synthetases). tRNAs cope with the degeneracy of the genetic code in two manners: having more than one tRNA (with a specific anti-codon) for a particular amino acid; and 'wobble' base-pairing, i.e. permitting non-standard base-pairing at the 3rd anti-codon position. NCBI's taxonomy places the organism in Eukaryota, Fungi, Neocallimastigomycota, Neocallimastigomycetes, Neocallimastigales, Neocallimastigaceae. The record is from Rfam.